Molecule: non-coding RNA, 91 nt
Organism: Bombardia bombarda
Lineage: Eukaryota; Fungi; Ascomycota; Sordariomycetes; Sordariales; Lasiosphaeriaceae
Source: the annotation of a GenBank genome assembly
GGGCUGAUGGUCUAGAGGUAUGAUUCUCGCUUUGGGAUUGGCUAAACAGCUCUUCUGCGAGAGGUCCCGGGUUCAAUCCCCGGUCAGCCCC